This 112-nucleotide ribosomal RNA is filed under the name Rikenella microfusus. The record is from RNAcentral. Lineage: Bacteria; Pseudomonadati; Bacteroidota; Bacteroidia; Bacteroidales; Rikenellaceae.
UUAGGUGGCAAUAGCGACAGGGUCCCACCUCUUCCCAUUCCGAACAGAGAAGUUAAACCUGUUAGCGCCGAUGGUACUGCAAUCAUGUGGGAGAGUAGGUCGCCGCCUUCUU